GUGGCCAUAGCUCAACCGGCGGAGCACCUGGUUGUGGCCCAGGAGGCUGUGGGUUCAAGCCCCACUGGCCACCCCA
RNAcentral lists this transfer RNA (76 nucleotides) under Chloroflexota bacterium. RNAcentral's name for it is "Chloroflexi bacterium (hot springs metagenome) tRNA-His". It matches the Rfam family "tRNA". Rfam says of the family: Transfer RNA (tRNA) molecules are approximately 80 nucleotides in length. The record is from RNAcentral. Lineage: Bacteria; Bacillati; Chloroflexota.